RNAcentral lists this transfer RNA (68 nucleotides) under Marmota monax (woodchuck). Its description in RNAcentral is "tRNA.Ala". The record is from RNAcentral. Lineage: Eukaryota; Metazoa; Chordata; Mammalia; Rodentia; Sciuridae.
GCUGUAGCUCAGUGGCAGAGCACUUGCCUAGCACAUGUGAGGCCCUGCAUUCGAUCCUCAGCACUGCA